RNAcentral lists this ribosomal RNA (259 nucleotides) under uncultured prokaryote. RNAcentral's name for it is "partial 16S ribosomal RNA". It matches the Rfam family "Bacterial small subunit ribosomal RNA", at positions 524 to 782 of the family's 1533-position model. The record is from RNAcentral.
UACGCAGGUGGCAAGCGUUGUCCGGAUUUAUUGGGCGUAAAGGGAGCGUAGGCGGACUUUUAAGUGAGAUGUGAAAUACCUGGGCUCAACUUGGGUGCUGCAUUUCAAACUGGAAGUCUAGAGUGCAGGAGAGGAGAAUGGAAUUCCUAGUGUAGCGGUGAAAUGCGUAGAGAUUAGGAAGAACACCAGUGGCGAAGGCGAUUCUCUGGACUGUAACUGACGCUGAGGCUCGAAAGCGUGGGGAGCAAACAGGAUUAGA